AGAGUUUGAUCCUGGCUCAGAACGUACGCUGGCGGCACGCCUAACACAUGCAAGUCGAACGAAGUAGCAAUACUUAGUGGCAGACGGGUGAGUAACAUGUAGGUAUCUACCCUUUGGCCUGGAAUAACACGAGGAAACUUGUGCUAAUACCGGAUAAGUCUUUACGGAGAAAGCUUUAUGCACCAUUGGAUGAGCCUGCACUUGAUUAGUUUGUUGGUGGGGUAAUGGCCUACCAAGACUGUGAUCAAUAGCUGAUUUGAGAGGAUGAUCAGCCACAUUGGGACUGAGACACGGCCCAAACUCCUACGGGAGGCAGCAGUGGGGAAUCUUGCACAAUGGAGGAAACUCUGAUGCAGCGAUGCCGCGUGAGUGAAGAAGGCCCUUGGGUUGUAAAGCUCUUUCGUCGGGGAAGAAAAUGACUGUACCCGAAUAAGAAGGUCCGGCUAACUUCGUGCCAGCAGCCGCGGUAAUACGAAGGGACCUAGCGUAGUUCGGAAUUACUGGGCUUAAAGAGUUCGUAGGUGGUUGAAAAAGUUGGUGGUGAAAUCCCAGAGCUUAACUCUGGAACUGCCAUCAAAACUUUUCAGCUAGAGUAUGAUAGAGGAAAGCAGAAUUUCUAGUGUAGAGGUGAAAUUGUAGAUAUUAGAAAGAAUACCAAUUGCGAAGGCAGCUUUCUGGAUCAUUACUGACACUGAGGAACGAAAGCAUGGGUAGCGAAGAGGAUUAGAUACCCUCGUAGUCCAUGCCGUAAACGAUGUGUGUUAGACGUUGGAAAUUUAUUUUCAGUGUCGCAGCGAAAGCGAUAAACACACCGCCUGGGGAGUACGACCGCAAGGUUAAAACUCAAAUGAAUUGACGGGGACCCGCACAAGUAGUGGAGCAUGUGGUUUAAUUCGAAGAUACGCGCAGAACCUUACCAACACUUGACAUGUUCGUCGCGACUUUAAGAGAUUAAAGUUUUCGGUUCGGCCGGACGAAACACAGGUGCUGCAUGGCUGUCGUCAGCUCGUGUCGUGAGAUGUUGGGUUAAGUCCCGCAACGAGCGCAACCCUCACUUUUAGUUGCCAUCAUUUAGUUGGGCACUCUGAAAGAACUGCCAGUGAUAAGCUGGAGGAAGGUGGGGAUGACGUCAAGUCCUCAUGGCCCUUACGUGUUGGGCUACACACGUGCUACAAUGGUAUCUACAACAGGAAGCAAAACUGCGAAGUUAAGCAAAUCCUUAAAAGAUACCUCAGUUCGGAUUGCACUCUGCAACUCGAGUGCAUGAAGCUGGAAUUACUAGUAAUCGUGGAUCAGCGUGCCACGGUGAAUGCGUUCCCGGGUCUUGUACACACCGCCCGUCACACCAUGGAAGUUGGUUACACCUUAAGGCAAAGCUUAUACCUUUGACUACGGUACGAUCAGCAACUGGGGUGAAGUCGUAACAAGGUAACC
Molecule: ribosomal RNA, 1434 nt
Filed under: uncultured bacterium
Lineage: Bacteria
Description: bacterial SSU rRNA
Rfam family: Bacterial small subunit ribosomal RNA
Source: RNAcentral